UUUGUAUGCACAUGUAUGUAUGUAUUUAUACUGUCCAUACAUACAUGUAUAUGUAUGCAUGCGUGUGCAUUGAAUCGGCGUUGAAAUGCGAUAGGCUAAAUUGGCAGAAAAAUGUAGAAAUUAUCCAAAAUGCUUUAAAAAAUUGUUGUUACAAAUGACGGUUGCUGUGUAUACAAAUAUGACAUCUAAACACAUAAUUCGAUAAAGAUCUCAUUAA
Drosophila virilis is the source of this 217-nucleotide non-coding RNA. The record is from RefSeq and is a predicted model, not a curated record. NCBI's taxonomy places the organism in Eukaryota, Metazoa, Arthropoda, Insecta, Diptera, Drosophilidae.